This 45-nucleotide non-coding RNA is filed under the name Roseiarcus fermentans. Lineage: Bacteria; Pseudomonadati; Pseudomonadota; Alphaproteobacteria; Hyphomicrobiales; Roseiarcaceae. The record is from RNAcentral.
AGAAGGCUUCCGGGGCGAUGCCGUUUCGGGGGCCUUUUUCUUUGC